CAUGCAGUCCUCCUACUGGCCCUCGGAUGUGGGACUGUCACUGGGUCUCAUCGCCAAGAGGAGCUGGAGGGCCAGGCAGGCUGAGUUAGUCGCUAAAGGCACACAAAGCUGGUCAGUGGCGGGGCUGGAUUCAAACCUGGAUGUCUGACCCCAGAGCCUGAGUUGUCCAUGAGGGAGACCCUGAAUCCGCACACAGACAAAGAGAUCUGUGGCCUGUUGAACCCUUUCCUGCAGCGUACCCUCUAAGUUCAGGAUUAAACUACCUCACUUACUGCUUACCACGGGAGCCAUACAGCAGGCAUUCUGGUAUCAUCUCUAUUUACAGGAUAGGGACCGGGGGCUCAGAGGAGUUCAUUUGCCAGAUCACCCAGUGGGGACCCAAGCCAGCUCUGCCUGCAGCCCCAUGGCUGACCUGUCUUUAUAGGGGGCCUCCCCUGUCAUUUGCUUCUCUGAAGAGCAUUUCUCUCCAUUUUCUAGAAUGAGAAGAGCAGGAAGGCCUGUUUCUGUUGGCUCGGGUGGGCCGUGGGGCGGAGGCCUGGCUGUGUCUUUGCAGUGUGGCUUUGAUGCUCCCUGGAGGAAGCAGUGUGCGUGGUGGAGGAGAUGGAAGCUUCCAGAAGGGAGGACACCUGAGGCAGUCUGACUGCCCAUAAGCCAGGGACACAAAUAGUUCUCUGAGGGAGGCCAAGGAAAGAACACAGAUGUGGACAGAAUUCUGGGGUGGGGACAGUCACCAGAGCUCCCUGGUGCUCUGAGGUCCCUCGAGGGAGGGGGCUGGGGACAGGAAGUCUUGGCCUUGUUUUUGAGUGUCUCUUGUGUCUGUGUUGGGCUGUGUCCCUUGAGGAGCCAUGGAGUGGGGACUGGCUCUGUUUGUAUCUUCAGCAAUGGAUCCAGCAGAGAAGAUGCCCAGGCUUCCAGACACCCUUGGCCACUCCAGGUUCCCAGAGCCUUCAGAAAUUCUCCGAAUCGCCUUGUGGCUCACCGGUUAUCGCGCUCACCACAGCACGCUCGCUCGCGUGAACCUCUGGGCCUAAACCGCAAGGCAACUCGGGCGCAUCAGCGACUUCUGCUCCAUCCUGGGGCCCCUUCCCCUCUCCUCCCACAGCCCAGCUGGGCCCACCAAGCUUCUCUUUCCGUCUUUGCUUCUAAAUCUUAGAAAUGGAAGUGAAGCAGAGCCAGG
RNAcentral lists this long non-coding RNA (1177 nucleotides) under Macaca mulatta (Rhesus monkey). RNAcentral describes it as "lncRNA (ENSMMUG00000065318.1)". The record is from RNAcentral. Lineage: Eukaryota; Metazoa; Chordata; Mammalia; Primates; Cercopithecidae.